Molecule: non-coding RNA, 505 nt
Organism: Notolabrus celidotus (New Zealand spotty)
Lineage: Eukaryota; Metazoa; Chordata; Actinopteri; Labriformes; Labridae
Source: the annotation of a RefSeq genome assembly
AUGACUCUGAUCUGCGUCCUCAUCUGGACUCUCCUCUGCUGCUGCUUCACAGAGUCCAGAGGACAGGUCACAGUGACUCAGCCUGCAGCAGUGAGCUCUGCUCCGGGAGGCUCCGUCACCAUCUCAUGCAGGACCAGUCAGAAUGUUUAUUAUAGCGGCUACCACUACUUAGGCUGGUACCAACAGAAAGAUGGAGAAACUCCUAAACUGUUCCUUUAUGCUGCUAGCUAUCGAGUAUCAGGGAUUCCACGUCGUUUUACAGGCAGUGGAUCACACUCAAACUUUGCUCUGACCAUCAGUGGAGUCCAGACUGAAGAUGCUGCAGUUUACUACUGUCAGAGUCUCCAUCAGAUCAACAGUCAGUAUCUGUACACACAGUGAAAAAGCGUCGUACAAAAACCUCCUUCAGUCAGACUGAACAGAAACUGAACUGACAGCUGCAGCUGGAAGCUUCUGCAGAGACUGACACACUUCACUGAAGACACACACACACACACACACACAC